This 495-nucleotide ribosomal RNA is filed under the name uncultured bacterium. RNAcentral's name for it is "partial 16S ribosomal RNA". It matches the Rfam family "Bacterial small subunit ribosomal RNA", at positions 28 to 507 of the family's 1533-position model. The record is from RNAcentral.
GACGAACGCUGGCGGCGUGCCUAAUACAUGCAGGUAGAACGCUGAAGGAGGAGCUUGCUUCUCUGGAUGAGUUGCGAACGGGUGAGUAACGCGUAGGUAGCCUGCCUGGUAGCGGGGGAUAACUAUUGGAAACGAUAGCUAAUACCGCAUAAGAGUAGAUGUCGCAUGACAUUUGCUUAAAAGGUGCAAUUGCAUCACUACCAGAUGGACCUGCGUUGUAUUAGCUAGUUGGUGAGGUAACGGCUCACCAAGGCAACGAUACAUAGCCGACCUGAGAGGGUGAUCGGCCACACUGGGACUGAGACACGGCCCAGACUCCUACGGGAGGCAGCAGUAGGGAAUCUUCGGCAAUGGACGGAAGUCUGACCGAGCAACGCCGCGUGAGUGAAGAAGGUUUUCGGAUCGUAAAGCUCUGUUGUAAGAGAAGAACGAGUGUGAGAGUGGAAAGUUCACACUGUGACGGUAUCUUACCAGAAAGGGACGGCUAACUACGUG